Ictidomys tridecemlineatus (thirteen-lined ground squirrel) is the source of this 475-nucleotide non-coding RNA. NCBI's taxonomy places the organism in Eukaryota, Metazoa, Chordata, Mammalia, Rodentia, Sciuridae. The record is from RefSeq and is a predicted model, not a curated record.
CAGGUUUCUGUCCAGAAAUACCACUCAAGAAUUUAAAGGGUUUGAUCCAUCAACAAGAGAUUCUACAAAAUAUUACACUGUUGAAUCCACUUCCUAAUAAAAGAGAAUCAUCUAAAGCACUAGAUUCGAAAUGGAACCUACCAAAGAUGACCACCCUCUUCCAGGAUGCAACAAACAGGCAUAAACAGAAAACAUUAUACAGUUCUACGUUCCCAGUAGGAAGAAUUUGAGGAUUCAGUAACCAGGGAGUGGAAGUAGAGAUGUCUCAGUUACCACUACUUCUAUGAUCUGUCUAAGGAAAUUUGUGCUUUUCAUCUCCAUUAUGUUGGACUCAGCAAAUUUGGAUAUCCUGGGUCCCAAAGAAAAACUCUUCUACCAGGUUCACUUCAAGAAUCCCAUUAAACUUUAAGCUAUCACUGUCUUCAACCAAUAAAGAAAUAAAUCAUUACCUUAGUCAGGGUUCACUGACUAGUAA